Molecule: long non-coding RNA, 796 nt
Filed under: Rosa chinensis
Lineage: Eukaryota; Viridiplantae; Streptophyta; Magnoliopsida; Rosales; Rosaceae
Description: sRNA RchiOBHm_Chr4g0412281
Source: RNAcentral
GGAGCUCCACGAAGAGAAUUGGCGUUUGAUCAUCUCGGCACGAGGUAAUUCAGCUUCCUCGAAGAGAUACAAAGCUCAAGCUUUCUGGACAUGACGACUUUCUUCAUUUUAAGAGAAUUAAGGUUGGGUACCUGCAUAUGAGGAUUCUUGGCAACAUCAGCUCCUCAAAUUUGUUAGAUCAUGCCAAGCGAUUUGUAUAAUCUCAAGUCCAGGACAUAAGUAGCAGAACCUGUACAAGGUUUAGGAUGGUAGCGUUGGCAGACAUUCAUUGAUUGUAGGGUUUGAUAUAUACAGAAAGUUUAUGUUGCAUUUCAUGAUGAAUGCUGGGGAGUUCCAGUAUGUGAUGACAAUCAAUUGUUUGAGCUGCGUGCUCUGUCUGGGAUGUUGAUGGACCACAAUUGGACUGAAAUUGGGAAAAGAAGGGAGCUGCUCAGGGAAGCCUUUUCGGCAUUUGAUCCAAACACAGUUGCCAAAUGGGGGAGGAAGAGAUUGAAGAGAUAAACUGCUGUUAUAGGAGUUAGUGGAAAAGUUGUGGACAGUGGUCUGAAUGAUCAUAUCUUCAUAUACUGUUCCAAUCAUGGUGGUCUGGAGUACUGGGUGAGUAGCUUUUCAGUAGCAACUUACACAAAAUGAUUUGUCCUGCUUUGGUUAUUGUGUAGGGGUCAAAUUGGUUGAUUGUUUAUGCCUAUUUGAGUUGAGCUAAUAGUAGCAACUUACACAAAAUGAUUUGCUGCAUUCCUGGUGAAUGAAAGUAGUUUGGGUUUAAGUUUCGAUUUGAAUAGAAAUGAGAGUGAUG